AGAGUUUGAUCCUGGCUCAGAUUGAACGCUGGCGGCAGGCCUAACACAUGCAAGUCGAGCGGUAGCACAGGGAGCUUGCUCCUGGGUGACGAGCGGCGGACGGGUGAGUAAUGUCUGGGAAACUGCCUGAUGGAGGGGGAUAACUACUGGAAACGGUAGCUAAUACCGCAUAACGUCUACGGACCAAAGUGGGGGACCUUCGGGCCUCAUGCCAUCAGAUGUGCCCAGAUGGGAUUAGCUAGUAGGUGGGGUAAUGGCUCACCUAGGCGACGAUCCCUAGCUGGUCUGAGAGGAUGACCAGCCACACUGGAACUGAGACACGGUCCAGACUCCUACGGGAGGCAGCAGUGGGGAAUAUUGCACAAUGGGCGCAAGCCUGAUGCAGCCAUGCCGCGUGUGUGAAGAAGGCCUUCGGGUUGUAAAGCACUUUCAGCGAGGAGGAAGGGUAGUGUGUUAAUAGCACAUUGCAUUGACGUUACUCGCAGAAGAAGCACCGGCUAACUCCGUGCCAGCAGCCGCGGUAAUAC
RNAcentral lists this ribosomal RNA (527 nucleotides) under uncultured Serratia sp. Its description in RNAcentral is "bacterial SSU rRNA". It matches the Rfam family "Bacterial small subunit ribosomal RNA", at positions 8 to 526 of the family's 1533-position model. Lineage: Bacteria; Pseudomonadati; Pseudomonadota; Gammaproteobacteria; Enterobacterales; Yersiniaceae. The record is from RNAcentral.